Molecule: microRNA, 23 nt
Filed under: Eisenia fetida (common brandling worm)
Lineage: Eukaryota; Metazoa; Annelida; Clitellata; Crassiclitellata; Lumbricidae
Description: Efe-Mir-10-P4c_5p* (star (passenger))
Source: RNAcentral
ACUCUGUAGACGAGGGUUUUUGU